AGACCCGAAACCCGGUGAUCUAGCCAUGGGCAGGUUGAAGGUUGGGUAACACUAACUGGAGGACCGAACCGACUAAUGUUGAAAAAUUAGCGGAUGACCUGUGGCUGGGGGUGAAAGGCCAAUCAAACCGGGAGAUAGCUGGUUCUCCCCGAAAGCUAUUUAGGUAGCGCCUCGUGAAUUCAUCUCCGGGGGUAGAGCACUGUUUCGGCUAGGGGGCCAUCCCGGCUUACCAACCCGAUGCAAACUGCGAAUACCGGAGAAUGUUAUCACGGGAGACACACGGCGGGUGCUAACGUCCGUCGUGAAGAGGGAAACAACCCAGACCGCCAGCUAAGGUCCCAAAGUCAUGGUUAAGUGGGAAACGAUGUGGGAAGGCCCAGACAGCCAGGAUGUUGGCUUAGAAGCAGCCAUCAUUUAAAGAAAGCGUAAUAGCUCACUGGUCGAGUCGGCCUGCGCGGAAGAUGUAACGGGGCUAAACCAUGCACCGAAGCUGCGGCAGCGAACGUAUCACCCAAGACAACUUUACGGAGUUGACGAUUGACGGAGCGAAGCGACGUCAAAGCGUUCAUUAAAGUCGAGUUGGCUUAGGGAUACGUUCGUUGGGUAGGGGAGCGUUCUGUAAGCCUGUGAAGGUGUGUCGUGAGGCAUGCUGGAGGUAUCAGAAGUGCGAAUGCUGACAUAAGUAACGAUAAAGCGGGUGAAAAG
RNAcentral lists this ribosomal RNA (705 nucleotides) under Salmonella enterica. RNAcentral describes it as "partial 23S ribosomal RNA". It matches the Rfam family "Bacterial large subunit ribosomal RNA", at positions 711 to 1328 of the family's 2925-position model. Lineage: Bacteria; Pseudomonadati; Pseudomonadota; Gammaproteobacteria; Enterobacterales; Enterobacteriaceae. RNAcentral also lists the same sequence under 1 other name. The record is from RNAcentral.